GACGAACGCUGGCGGCGUGCUUAACACAUGCAAGUCGAACGGAAAGGCCCUGCUUGCAGGGUACUCGAGUGGCGAACGGGUGAGUAACACGUGGGUGAUCUGCCCUGCACUUCGGGAUAAGCCUGGGAAACUGGGUCUAAUACCGGAUAGGAGCCAUUUUUAGUGUGAUGGUUGGAAAGUUUUUUCGGUGUAGGAUGAGCUCGCGGCCUAUCAGCUUGUUGGUGGGGUAAUGGCCUACCAAGGCGGCGACGGGUAGCCGGCCUGAGAGGGUGGACGGCCACAUUGGGACUGAGAUACGGCCCAGACUCCUACGGGAGGCAGCAGUGGGGAAUAUUGCACAAUGGGCGCAAGCCUGAUGCAGCGACGCCGCGGGGGGGAUGACGGCCUUCGGGUUGUAAACGCCUUUCGCUAGGGACGAAGCUUUUUGUGACGGUACCUAGAUAAGAAGCACCGGCUAACUACGUG
RNAcentral lists this ribosomal RNA (465 nucleotides) under uncultured bacterium. RNAcentral's name for it is "partial 16S ribosomal RNA". It matches the Rfam family "Bacterial small subunit ribosomal RNA", at positions 28 to 507 of the family's 1533-position model. The record is from RNAcentral.